GAUGAACGCUGGCGGCGUGCCUAACACAUGCAAGUCGAACGGCAAGACAGUGAGCUUGUGCCUCUACCGUUGGCGGCGGGCGGGCGGGUGACGAGUGGAUCGGCAUCUUCUUUUUCGGGGGUGAUUACGGAGGAAAGCAUAUGCUAAUAGCGCAUAUGUUCUACCGGAGAGAGCAGUGGUUCAUCGCAUCUUGCGUGAUUCUAUUAGCCGAUGCCGCGCUUGCUUGGUGGCUGGGUAAAGGCCUACCAAGACGACGAAGCGUAGCCGACCUGAGAGGAUGAUCGGCCACACUGGAACUGAGACACGGUCCAGACUCCUACGGGAGGCAGCAGUAGGGAAUCUUGGGCAAUGGGCGAAAGCCUGACGCAGCAACACCGCGUGGGUGACGAAGGCCUUCGGAUCGUAAAGCCCUUUUAUUGGGGAAGAAAAGCUGUAGAAUUAACCCCGGCUGUUGUGACGGUACCCAAUCAGUAAGCCCCGGCUAACUACGUG
RNAcentral lists this ribosomal RNA (492 nucleotides) under uncultured bacterium. RNAcentral describes it as "partial 16S ribosomal RNA". It matches the Rfam family "Bacterial small subunit ribosomal RNA", at positions 28 to 507 of the family's 1533-position model. The record is from RNAcentral.